RNAcentral lists this ribosomal RNA (497 nucleotides) under uncultured bacterium. Its description in RNAcentral is "partial 16S ribosomal RNA". It matches the Rfam family "Bacterial small subunit ribosomal RNA", at positions 28 to 507 of the family's 1533-position model. The record is from RNAcentral.
GACGAACGCUGGCGGCGUGCCUAAUACAUGCAAGUUGAGCGCUGAAGGUUGGUACUUGUACCAACUGGAUGAGCAGCGAACGGGUGAGUAACGCGUGGGGAAUCUGCCUUUGAGCGGGGGACAACAUUUGGAAACGAAUGCUAAUACCGCAUAAAAACUUUAAACACAAGUUUUAAGUUUGAAAGAUGCAAUUGCAUCACUCAAAGAUGAUCCCGCGUUGUAUUAGCUAGUUGGUGAGGUAAAGGCUCACCAAGGCGAUGAUACAUAGCCGACCUGAGAGGGUGAUCGGCCACAUUGGGACUGAGACACGGCCCAAACUCCUACGGGAGGCAGCAGUAGGGAAUCUUCGGCAAUGGACGCAAGUCUGACCGAGCAACGCCGCGUGAGUGAAGAAGGUUUUCGGAUCGUAAAACUCUGUUGGUAGAGAAGAACGUUGGUGAGAGUGGAAAGCUCAUCAAGUGACGGUGACUACCCAGAAAGGGACGGCUAACUACGUG